AUUUUCUUAAAAGUUGCCUCUCGGGAUGUCACGCGUCCAAAGAUCUUCUACACGUGUCUCUGACGCUGUCAGACGUGACGGGAAGCGGGUCGGUGCCGGUGUUAUAUCCAGGGAUGUAUUCCCGCUUCGUGUUCCUGGCAUAGACUCCGGAUCCACCGCCACCCUGAGCAGGAUAUGGAGUACUGCAACGUUUCAGACUCGCCUCCUGUGUCCAAAUAUACACAUCGGGAAGCUUCUGCAUCAACUACAAAACGAAAAUUCAGAAUUUAUUAUAAACGAUAAGUGAAAAGACGUCAGGAACUAAAAUCAGUCCCGGUUCCUGAAUCCAUGAGGAAAAAAAAACAAAAAACAGUUCCUGCAGUGGGUUUAAAACAUCACAGAACGCUCAGAAUGUGAAAGUACCUUCCCUGAUAGAGCGUGCGCCGAAUGUGCACGGUAAUGAAUAUAGGAGGAGGAGGAGGAGGAGAAGAAGAAGAAGAAGAAGAAGAAGAAGAAGAAGAGAGCUGCUCCUCAUGAUGAGGACGAAGAAGAACAAGAAGAAGAACAAUAAGAGGAAUGAAGGAAGUAGAAGACGAAGAAGGAGGAGGAGAAAAAGAAAGAGACAAGAAAGAAAAGGAGGAGGAGAUGAAGAAGAAGAAGGUAAAGGAGGAGAACAAUAAAGAAAAACAAAGAAAAGAAGAAGGAGUCGAUGUUGCUGCUGCUGGUCAUGAUGAAAAAGAAGAACAACAAGAAGAGGAAGGAAGAAGGAGGAGGAGGAGGAGGAGGAGGAGGAGAAAAAGAAAGAGAAAAGGGAAAGGAGGAGGAGGAGGAGGAGGAGAUGAUGGAGGAGGCGACAAAGAAAGAGAGAAGACAGAAUUGAGAAGGUGCUGCUGCUGAUAAUGAUGAAGAGGAAGAAGGAGGAGGAGGAGGAGGAGAAAAGAAAGAGAAAAGGAGGAAAGAAGAACCGAAGAAGAAGAUGAUGAAGAAAAGGAAGGAAGCAGAAGAAAAAGGAGGAGGAGGAAAAAAAAGAGAAAUGAAUGAAAAGAAGAAGAAGAAGAAGAAGAAGAAGAAGAAGAAGAAGAAGAAGAAGACUGCUGUGCUGAUUUGUCGAUUGGUCAAAACACAAUAAAAAGCAGUUUACCAGACCUGAGUGAGCUGUAAAAUACAUGUGUGUGUGUGUGUGUGUGUGUGUGUGUGUGUGUGUGUGUGUGUGUGUGCGCGUGUGUGAGAUGAAUGACGAAGGCCAGGCAGGCUCCUGAAUAAAGGAAGCUGACAGGAGUCUAGCAGCGCCUCGGGGACUCAGAUGCUACUCAGGCUGCGGGUCGUCCGCUGAUCGUAGGGUCGGAGGUUUGAUUCCCGGUCCACGUGACUCCACGUGACUCCACGUGACUCCACGUGACUCCACGUGACUCCACGUGACUCCACGUGACUCCACGUGACUCCACGUGACUCCACGUGACUCCACGUGACUCCACGUGCCCAAGUGUCCUUGGGCGAGACACUGAACCCUGAGUUGCUCCUGAUGGCAAGUUAGUGCCUUGCAUGGCAGCUCUGCUACCAUUGGUGUGUGUGUGUGUGUGUGUGUGUGUGUGUGUGUGUGUGUGUGUGAAUGGCUGAAUGAGACACAGUGUAAAGCGCUUUGGAUAAAAGUGCUACAUAAGUGCAGACCAUUUACAGACUGCAGUGUGUGUUUCUGCCUCCGCGUCCAUUUCUUUCUCUUUUCCUCAGACUCCAGCGCUCAGCUCCUGGCAAGCGAUGCGAAGCCACUGCCGAGCAACAUCACAUGACAACUGUGCGCAAGGAUCGAGCAACUCGAAGGAGAGAGAGAGAGAGAGAGAGAGAGAGAGAGAGAGAGAGAGAGAGAGAGAGAGAGAACUUCAUUUGGACAGUUGUGAUGCGAUCACCACAGCAACUUUUUUGUGUUUUGUGGAAAGAUGGCUGUGGGGUUUGGCACUGCACAAUUCCUCUGGGGAAAAAAAACUGCUAG
Molecule: long non-coding RNA, 1966 nt
Organism: Ictalurus punctatus (channel catfish)
Lineage: Eukaryota; Metazoa; Chordata; Actinopteri; Siluriformes; Ictaluridae
Source: Ensembl